This 2273-nucleotide long non-coding RNA is filed under the name Chinchilla lanigera (long-tailed chinchilla). RNAcentral's name for it is "lncRNA (ENSCLAG00000027285.1)". Lineage: Eukaryota; Metazoa; Chordata; Mammalia; Rodentia; Chinchillidae. The record is from RNAcentral.
UUCCCACAGCCCCAGGUCGGAAGGACCCGGAAGCAGGGCUGGCCGUCCACCCCCCACUCCUCUGGGCCCGGCCCUCCAUUCCUCCUGCUGGUGUCCCUCCCCUCCAUUGCUCUCCUUCUGAAAGCUCUGCACAGUCUCAUUCCAGCGGGUCAUACAGUCUCAUUUUCUUUUUGAAAACUUAAGUUUGGGCAAGCAGAGUCUCUACCGCUACACUUCUCCUUGUGACUGCCAGCCCAGGGCCCCUGGACCUCUGGAGGGAACCUGGCCCCACGCUGCUGUCCUAAGCAGCAGCCCUUGCCUGGCCUGAGGGUGGUGUCUCCAGCUCCCAGGAGAGCCCCAGGCACUGGAUGCCGGGAGCCCAGGUGCCUGGCGGCCACGGCCCAGCCCAGGUGCAGGGCGGCAGGUGGAGAAGGCUGUGCCCAGCGGCGUGGGAAGGAGGUCACCAGUAAAGGCGACCUGUCAGCAGCCACGGGAUGACACCGAGAGUCUGGCCGAAAGCCUCGGGCCUGGGCAGCAGAACUCCUUCUCUGUUCAGUGCUGCUGGCUGGCAAGGAGCUUUCCCGCUGUACCUCGCCUGCUGCAGAGGGGACUCAAGCGGCCCCUCCCUGUUUCACAAACCAGAAGCUGGAGCUCCAUGCAGAGGUCUCACUGCGCACUGGCAGGGGCCCAGGAAACAACGGCGCUGAAGCGGUGGGUGGCAGACAGCAUCAGCCUUCGGGAGGAGGGACCUCUGCACCGCUGCCCGCCAGCCCUGGUGACCCGUCGCCCUCCCUAUGUCUGCUCAUCUCCUGCUGAGGACUUCCUGUUUAUCACAGCAAGCCGCUGGCUGACGGCCUCUGUGUUGAGGCAUACGUCUCUAUUUUCCUUUGGGGGCUGCUGCUCCAAUUUUGACAUUGUGGCUGUUGUUAGUCCCUGUGACUUAUCCUCUAAUUCCAGAAAAGCCUGCAGAAUAUGAGUCUCAUUUGUCUUUGCAGGACCCCCAGCCCCCAGUUCAGGAGACGCUCGGUAGCGAUUUGUCUGUGGAGGGAGUUCCUCGGGAGUUAGCCAGGUAACCCCCGGCCCAUGUGCGAUGCACCCGGCUGGCUGCCACUUGCACCAUCGUCCUGCACAAGCGCCCCAGAGCCAAUGAAGGGGCAACAGCAGCAGCGGGGCCUCAGCCCCCAGUGCCAGAUGUGCUGACACAAACUCGCCGCAGGCAGAGGUUUUUACCCAGGGGAGGGCUAGUAACAGGCUCAGUUCUUGGGCUUGAGGAGAGGAUGCUCAAUCUCAUUGGGUCAAUUUAAAUAAUCUUACUUCCUGUGCUCCUCCAGUCACUUUGGAAUAGCAAAAGCAAGAGGCACAGCGGAACUCCGUGGACCAGCCCUCUGGUACCGGCGUGGGCCCUGUGGAAGGGCCACUCCUAGGAAGUAGCCUCCUCCUGCUCUUCUUUUGGCGUCCUGGCUCCUCACAUGUGAGGACUCCCCGGGUGUCUGGGAGAGCCCUGCGGCUCACUGUGGGCUCCUGUGCUGGGCUCUCAAGCGAAGGUGUGCGUGGGGCAGACCUGGGUCAGCAUCGCCUCAGGUCCGUGCCACGCUCGGCUCUGACGAGGCCAGGGGCGGUGUUCGGAGGCUGCCGCCUCCCCACUGCUCUGGCUCUGCCCCCUUUCUGUUCUCACCGUGCCGGCAGGAGUUGAGCGUGUUGGGUGUGAGAGAUGCGGGUGGAGUGCCCUGGGCAGGGGCACCGUGAGCUCAGCUCUUUCACUAACAGCUCGAGCUGCAGGGCCGGCCCAGCCGGGCUUUGAAUCCUUUCCUCUCAGAGGGAGGAACGCUCCUUUGGUUCUACGCUGACUCACUGUCCAUGGGCCUGUCUGUCCCUACAGCAGCUCGUCCAGCUUCUGUGGCCAGCGAGGCUCCUAAUUGGUGUCCUCCCUUGAGCGCGCUGGGUGCCCCUUGUGUCCGCAGAUGGGGAGGCAGAGGAGGCCGCAGGAGAGGCGGGGUGCCCAGAGAGACCAGAGGUAUGAGCUGGAGCUGGCCCGCACUUCUCCUGGCCUUUCACCGUGCGGACGGCUUGCCCCAGAGUACACAAACCCGCAGACAGAAUCCCAGCUCUGUUUGAGCAGGGCGCAGACAAAGCCUGCCCCGGCCGCGCUGCUCCCGCCAUGGUAACCACCGCAUUCAGUGGACCAUGGUAGCAGGCAAGUAUGUGCACGACCGUCUUGGCCUCUCUGUCUCUUCCCACAGGCAGACGGUGUGUGAAUGUUGUGUCCAUGUUUUCUUUCUUAUCCUGACAUAUUU